UGCUGUCUUGCUGCAUCUAAUGCUUCUUGAAAAUUUAUAAAGCCUUUGUAAAGAGGGUCUGAAAUUCAUAAAAUAUAUUAUGUAAUAUAGCCAAAUUUUGUAAGUACAAUUGAAAUAAUUGAGGAAGUGGAAUGCAAUUAGUACCUAAUUUCACAUUGUCUCUAUAGAUAUUUUAGAUUCUUCUUGGAUUGAUAGUUUUACCUCUUAUAUAGGUGAGAAGCUUCAAUGCAACCUACAAAUAUCAUGGAUACAUGUAUGCAUUCAACAAACAUAUACUAUUGGCAUCCAGAAAAAGUUCAUGUAUGCUCUUGUUUGAACCCCAUUUUGGGCAAAAGAAUGAAUUUUAAAUAUUAGAUUAAUGAAGAAUGUGUGGUUAAAAAUUAAGAAAAUAUUUUGGGUUUGCAUGUAAUAUUAUUUUAUUAAAGAUUGUGUGGUUGAAAAUGAGUUUUAAAAAAAUGAAUUUUUAGAAGAAUCUCAAACAAGGGCUAUACGUGACUCUUAUCUUUGACCGAGGCCCUCUUACUAUUUGAGGUGUACUUCUUCAACUAAAGUCCUUCUUUAAAGUCUCUUUUACACUAGAAGAACGCAUAAUUUCUAUGGAGGUCUCUUGUGAAAUUCUUGCUAGAAUGCAUGUUAGAAGCCCCUUUUAGUGAUCUAGCAGAUUUUCAACGUUUUUUAGUCAAAUCGAGUAAAAUAUAGUUUGUGAAGUUUUACCACCCUAUAAGCAAGAUUAGAAUUGUGGAGCAGAGCAAGUGGUAAUAAUUUCAAUGGUUGACUAAAUCUCCAUUUUGUGAGCCAGAGGAAGAGAAGAAGUUAACCCCCUUCUUCCCUUAAUUUGGUUCUGACUAUUCCUCGUCACCUACCAAGCAAUUUCAAUAUUAGUUCAAUGCUGAAGAUUAUAAAGGUAAAUGUUACAAAAAAAUUUUAACUAAAAAUUUAAUAUUUAAUUUUAAAAUAGGAUAUUCAAAAUGAGGAACAUGUUAAUAAGCACUCAAUGAAAACUAGAACCAAAAGGGGAUGCAAAGAACAAAGCCAUAAUAUUUUCAAUCAAAUUGUCAAUUUGUCAUCACAAGUUUUUUUAGGGAGAGAAGCGUCGCUGACUUAGUUUCUUCAAUUUGCCGAAGUAAUUUUUUCCAUUUCUCUACCUAGUUAGAGAUAUUCACAUACUAUAGAAAGUUGGUAUUUCUCUUCAGUUUCAUUUUAUUAGAACUCGGGUGGAAACUAGGGCUAAUAGUAUUACAUUAAAUUGCAGAAAAAAAUUAUCAGCUUUCAUCGAUCCAAAGCGAGAUGAGACCUUCAUUAUUAACAUAAUGUUUUGAAAUUCAAGAAAAGCAUAAAUCUGCAAACGAGAUGUUCAUUAAUAACGAACCGGCAAUGAGGUUAGCCUUACAGAUUCAAGAGACCUUCUAUAAUAAAUUUUGUCGGCUUUCAUCAACCCAGGGCCGUGUUCAGCAUUGAUGCUACCACGGUGCUUCGAUGUCUAAACCUUAAUCUUACCGUAGAUCUAUGAUAUUCCGAUAGAUCUACCCGUACAACACAAUAAAUGAACUGAUAGUAACCAAUAAACGAAUUUAUAGCAACCACAUAACCCAAUUAGCAUUUCACAAUAUUCCCCUACAAAUCAGUAAUAACCCAACAAAUAAAAAUUAAUAAACCAUACCUCUGGACUUUCUCUGGAUCUGAAUUGGUUCGUUAGAUUAGUGGGCUCGAUGGCUGAUGUCUCAUUGAAGGCAGCGGGACGGUAAUUUGGUGGUGGAACAAAGCAGAGUAGAAGAAGAAAGGAAAUUUGGGGAAGAAAAUAAAAUGUGGGGAAGACAAGAAAAAAUAAAACAAAAGGAAAAUAGAUGAAAAUGAAAAAGAAAAAGAAAAAGAAAGAAAAGGAAAGGAAAAUGAAAGAAAAAAAGAAAAAUUUUCCAGCUAAUUAUUAGCCCACGAAGAAGUUUAAUAUUUUUGUCAACAAAAAACAUAUGUUUCCCAUCAAAUUUUUUGUCCAGAAAAAUUAUAAACUUUUGUGGGAACAAGUCCUC
RNAcentral lists this long non-coding RNA (2027 nucleotides) under Olea europaea subsp. europaea. The record is from RNAcentral. Lineage: Eukaryota; Viridiplantae; Streptophyta; Magnoliopsida; Lamiales; Oleaceae.